GCGUGCGGUAGACCCGAAACCUUAGCGAUCUAUCCAUGACCAGGUUGAAAGGCGGGUAACACCGCUCGGAGGACCGAACUCACUAGGGUUGAAAACCUAGGGGAUGAGUUGUGGAUAGGAGUGAAAGGCUAAUCAAGCUGGGAGAUAGCUGGUUCUCCCCGAAAUAUAUUGAGGUAUAGCCUCGAGUGAAUUGCGCCGGAGGUAGAGCACUGGAUGGGCUAGGGGUCCUACCAGAUUACCAAACCCAACCAAACUCCGAAUGCCGGUGACAACUGCUCGGGAGUCAGGCAGCGGGAGAUAAGUUCCGUUGCCGAGAGGGAAAGAGCCCAGAUCGUCGGCUAAGGUCCCCAAGUCUGAGCUAAGUGUGAAAGGAUGUGGGAACGCUCUGACAACCAGGAGGUUGGCUUAGAAGCAGCCAUCCUUUAAAGAAAGCGUAAUAGCUCACUGGUCAAGCGAGCCCGCGCCGAAAAUAUAACGGGGCUCAAGCUCAGCACCGAAGCUGCGGGCUCUCGCAAGAGAGCGGUAGGGGAGCAUUCUCAAGGAGAUACAAGCCAGACGGUGACGACUGGUAGCGGCCUUGAGAAGAGCUUAUGCAGGCAUGAGUAGCGAUAAACCGAGUGAGAAACUUCGGUCGCCGUAAGCCCAAGGUUUCCUGGGGAAGGAUAAUCCUCCCAUGGGUCAGUCGGUCCCUAAGCCGAGGCCGAAAGGCGUAGGUGAUGGAUGGCAGGUUAAUAUUCCUGCACCACCAGGGAUGGCGUUGAAGUAAGCGGGGACGGAGAAGGGUAGGCCUAGCGCAGCGCAAGGUUGUCUGCGUUCAAGCCCGUAGGGUGGACCGUGAGGACUCGAUAGAGACAAACCACGGUCCGUAUAGCCCGAGAGGUGAUGAGGUCCGGAUCUGAUCCGGGACACUAGGUGAUCCCAAGCUUCCAAGAAAAGCCGCGUACAGAGCCACUCUGGUGACCGUACCGCAAACCGACUCAGGUGGGCGGGGUGAAUAUCCCAAGGCGCGUGAGAGAACCCUGGUUAAGGAACUAGGCAAACUAACACCGUAACUUCGGGAGAAGGUGUGCCGCUUUCUGUGCGGAGCUUCGCGCUCCAAGCGGCGAGCGGUUGCAGAGAAAUAGGGGUUGUGACUGUUUACUAAAAACACAGGACUCUGCAAAGUCGUAAGACGAUGUAUAGGGUCUGAUGCCUGCCCGGUGCUGGAAGGUUAAGGGGACGGGUCAGCGCAAGCGAAGCCCAAAACCGAAGCCCCAGUAAACGGCGGCCGUAACUAUAACGGUCCUAAGGUAGCGAAAUUCCUUGUCGGGUAAGUUCCGACCUGCACGAAUGGCAUAACAACAUCCCCGCUGUCUCAACCAGGGACUCAGCGAAAUUGUAUUGGGGGUGAAGAUACCCUCUACCCGCGGCAAGACGGAAAGACCCCAUGAACCUUCACUGCAGCUUGGCAGUGAACUUCGGACUGUUCUGCGUAGGAUAGGUGGGAGGCUUUGAAGCCGGGCUUCUGGGUUCGGCUGAGCCAACGUUGAAAUACCACCCUGGACAAUCUGGGGUUCUAACCUGGUCCCGUGAUCCGGGACGGGGACACUGCCUGGUGGGCAGUUUGACUGGGGCGGUCGCCUCCAAAAACGUAACGGAGGCGUGCGAAGGUUCCCUCAGGCUGAUUGGAAACCAGCCGUAGAGUGCAAAUGCAUAAGGGAGCUUAACUGUAAGACCGACAGGUCGAGCAGGUGCGAAAGCAGGCGUUAGUGAUCCGGUGGUUCCAUAUGGAAGGGCCAUCGCUCAUCGGAUAAAAGGUACUCUGGGGAUAACAGGCUGAUCGCGCCUGAGAGUUCACAUCGGCGGCGCGGUUUGGCACCUCGAUGUCGGCCCAUCGCAUCCUGGGGCUGGAGCAGGUCCCAAGGGUUCGGCUGUUCGCCGAUUAAAGCGGUACGCGAGCUGGGUUUAGAACGUCGUGAGACAGUUCGGUCCCUAUCUGCCGUGGGCGUAGGAUACUUGAGAGGAGCUGCCCAUAGUACGAGAGGACCUGGGUGGACGUACCCCUGGUGAUCCGGUUGUCACGCCAGUGGCAUAGCCGGGUAGCCACGUACGGAACGGAUAACCGCUGAAAGCAUCUAAGCGGGAAGCCGGCCUCAAGACUAGGUAUCCCGGGCGCAAGCCCCUAAAGACCCCUCGUAGACUACGAGGUUGAUAGGCCGGGUGUGGAAGUGGAGUAAUCCACGGAGCUAACCGGUACUAAUCGGUCGUGAGGCUUGACCAU
This 2260-nucleotide ribosomal RNA is filed under the name Deltaproteobacteria bacterium. RNAcentral describes it as "partial 23S ribosomal RNA". It matches the Rfam family "Bacterial large subunit ribosomal RNA", at positions 702 to 2925 of the family's 2925-position model. Lineage: Bacteria; Pseudomonadati; Myxococcota; Myxococcia. The record is from RNAcentral.